CUGCUGACACAGGUCCCAGGACAAAGUCAGGAUGUCUGAAGGACUAUCUGGUAGCAAUUGAUUAACCACAGAAUGCCCCAAUGCCGGAGGUAGUCUAUAAAGUUUAACAAACAAAUGGUUAAAACUACAAAGUAAGAUAACACAGAAAUUCUUGAAAAGCCCCUAAAACUUGAGUCAAUUAGAAUUGUACCCUUACUUGCACCCCUAAAUGAUGUAACCUUGUGGUUUUUGCCUUUAAAAAUGAAGCUUGCAGAGGGGUGGGCACCUCCUCCAGCCUCUGCUAUGUCUGGGGUAUUCGACCAAGGUCCCUGCCGAGGCUUGAAUUGAAAUAAACCUUGUUUUUGCAUUUCGGUGAGUUGCUGUCUCUGGUGGUCUCUUCGGGGGUCUCACACCCAGGGCACAAUAAGCAAUAGCAAGCCUCUGGUCGAGUAAGGUCACCAGACUUGAAUUCUACAGGGUCAUAAAGGCAGGUAAGAAUUUUCCUCAGAUAGUGACCACCAGGCUUCCAGGGUCAAACUGAGGGGUGAUAAUCACAUAGAGGGGCAGUAAUUGUUAAUUAUCAUUUGCAGCCCAAAAGGGAAGUGACUAAUGGGGAAAUGAAUUAACUAAAGCCUAAAUUCGGGUAAUAUCUAAGAAGAGGGAAUCUUACGUGCUCCACUAUAGUCUUCAACGUGAUUGGUAGAAAAUGUUAAGAAUCUGUGGGGCGGUGGUGGCACACGCAUUUAAUCCCAGCACUCGGGAGGCAGA
This is a non-coding RNA of Peromyscus maniculatus bairdii (prairie deer mouse), 747 nucleotides long. The record is from RefSeq and is a predicted model, not a curated record. NCBI's taxonomy places the organism in Eukaryota, Metazoa, Chordata, Mammalia, Rodentia, Cricetidae.